This 407-nucleotide ribosomal RNA is filed under the name Klebsiella sp. BF-33. Its description in RNAcentral is "bacterial SSU rRNA". It matches the Rfam family "Bacterial small subunit ribosomal RNA", at positions 970 to 1377 of the family's 1533-position model. Lineage: Bacteria; Pseudomonadati; Pseudomonadota; Gammaproteobacteria; Enterobacterales; Enterobacteriaceae. The record is from RNAcentral.
CUUACCUACUCUUGACAUCCAGAGAACUUAGCAGAGAUGCUUUGGUGCCUUCGGGAACUCUGAGACAGGUGCUGCAUGGCUGUCGUCAGCUCGUGUUGUGAAAUGUUGGGUUAAGUCCCGCAACGAGCGCAACCCUUAUCCUUUGUUGCCAGCGAUUCGGUCGGGAACUCAAAGGAGACUGCCAGUGAUAAACUGGAGGAAGGUGGGGAUGACGUCAAGUCAUCAUGGCCCUUACGAGUAGGGCUACACACGUGCUACAAUGGCAUAUACAAAGAGAAGCGACCUCGCGAGAGCAAGCGGACCUCAUAAAGUAUGUCGUAGUCCGGAUUGGAGUCUGCAACUCGACUCCAUGAAGUCGGAAUCGCUAGUAAUCGUAGAUCAGAAUGCUACGGUGAAUACGUUCCCGG